UAUAACGAUAUUUUUGGUUAUCAGUGUUUUAUGCUGACUUUCGUUCGGAGGAGUAUUACUACUUUAGAGGGAGGGGUUAUUGCUUCGUAUCAAAUCAGAGGCAUAAAAAAAGCGCCCUGAGGCGCUUUUUUGU
This 133-nucleotide small RNA is filed under the name Enterobacter hormaechei. RNAcentral describes it as "Enterobacteria sRNA STnc130". It matches the Rfam family "Enterobacteria sRNA STnc130". The record is from RNAcentral. Lineage: Bacteria; Pseudomonadati; Pseudomonadota; Gammaproteobacteria; Enterobacterales; Enterobacteriaceae.